This 352-nucleotide long non-coding RNA is filed under the name Priapulus caudatus. Its description in RNAcentral is "uncharacterized LOC106807462, transcript variant X1". Lineage: Eukaryota; Metazoa; Priapulida; Priapulimorpha; Priapulimorphida; Priapulidae. The record is from RNAcentral.
AUGGAUUAAUCAGGAUAACCCACACAUACCUAAAUGAGUUCAAUUUAAUUUUCAGGGUCAAUCGCCAGACUGGAGGACACGCAGAAUUAUCACGUUUUCGAGGCAGCGUCGUGCAACGAUUGAGUGGUUCCCGGUCUCCAGUUAUACAUACAAAGAGAUGCACAGAGAAACACUGCCAAUCACGUCGCUGAAGGACACGGGGAAUCAACAUGUUUUCGAGGCAACGUCGUGCACCGCUCGCCAGUUAAGCAUACUAAAUUGUUAUUUUUAACUGCCAAUCGCCGCGCCGUAACCGGAAACGUACAGCUAGAGGACACGGAGCAGCGACUCCUUUUCAAGAAAGCGUCGAGCA